RNAcentral lists this ribosomal RNA (497 nucleotides) under uncultured bacterium. Its description in RNAcentral is "partial 16S ribosomal RNA". It matches the Rfam family "Bacterial small subunit ribosomal RNA", at positions 28 to 507 of the family's 1533-position model. The record is from RNAcentral.
GACGAACGCUGGCGGCGUGCCUAAUACAUGCAAGUUGAGCGCUGAAGGUUGGUACUUGUACCAACUGGAUGAGCAGCGAACGGGUGAGUAACGCGUGGGGAAUCUGCCUUUGAGCGGGGGACAACAUUUGGAAACGAAUGCUAAUACCGCAUAAAAACUUUAAACACAAGUUUUAAGUUUGAAAGAUGCAAUUGCAUCACUCAAAGAUGAUCCCGCGUUGUAUUAGCUAGUUGGUGAGGUACAGGCUCACCAAGGCGAUGAUACAUAGCCGACCUGAGAGGGUGAGCGGCCACAUUGGGACUGAGACACGGCCCAAACUCCUACGGGAGGCAGCAGUAGGGAAUCUUCGGCAAUGGACGAAAGUCUGACCGAGCAACGCCGCGUGAGUGAAGAAGGUUUUCGGAUCGUAAAACUCUGUUGGUAGAGAAGAACGUUGGUGAGAGUGGAAAGCUCAUCAAGUGACGGUAACUACCCAGAAAGGGACGGCUAACUACGUG